This is a long non-coding RNA of Cavia porcellus (domestic guinea pig), 2939 nucleotides long. RefSeq lists it as uncharacterized. The transcript is spliced from 2 exons. NCBI's taxonomy places the organism in Eukaryota, Metazoa, Chordata, Mammalia, Rodentia, Caviidae. The record is from RefSeq and is a predicted model, not a curated record.
UGCUGCUGGUGACUGGAGAUCAGGAGGGAGGGAAACAGCGAAUGAGGCCGGUUCCGCCCUAACAAAGAGGCAGAAACUGUGUCUCAACAGCCACCAAAUCCAGUUCAGGGCGGUUUGAGCCAGUUUCUGAGCUGGACUGAGAACAACAGCCUCGGCUGAGACAUCACUAGGGUGAAACAGAAAAUACAAAAUGGAUUUCGCAGAAAGAAAUGGAUUUGUCUUGGACUCGCUGGAGCCUAAAGCAGUUUCCUUUAGUAGCAAAGUCAGAUGAAAUACAAGGCCUGGAGCCGGAACAGUGCCCUGUUGCUGGAGGGAAAAGCACUGAGCACACCUUCUGUGCCAGAAUCCAGUCCGCAUUUUCUCUCUGGCUGCUCCUAAUUAUGGCUGGUGAGGGAAAAAGGGCCUCAGGGUAUCAGUUUUCAGAGAGAGCUGGCUGCGGUGUUGGGGGAGGGGAGGACGACGUGUCUGGAUGGUUUAAUGUGUAUGCGCUAAGAGGGGAACGCAGGAGAGGGUCUGAAGGAGAGGGAACCGCACUUCACACCCUGCAGUUCACACCAUCUCUGUACACCUUUGCUGCCUUAUCGCCCAAACUCAGAACCCUGCACAGAGGUGUCCUAGGAGCGCUCUACAUACAGUGGCCCUGAUGCAGCCUUUGACCAGACCUCCCUCGGCCCUGUGCAUUAACUGACAAUACAUAUGCUCCAUGCUGUCCACAUGUUCUUAACAUGUGUCCAAAAAAAUGCAUUCACAACGCAGCGAUGCAGCAGUAUUAGGUAACACCAGGAAGACAAUUCUAUCCUAGCCUCCCCUCCCCCCAGAGGCCAGAACCUCCAGACAACUGAUCAGUCCCACCCUGAAGGGCUUUUUUCCUAAUCUGAGUUGUGGAACACAGCUGUCUAGGGUGUGCACAUCCUGUGGCCAAGUUUGGCUCAGUCUUUCCGGGCCAGUUACAGCUUUAACCCCUUUAAAAAAAAAAAAAACGCAAAAGCGUCGUAUGAGUUCUAGAAACAGCCCGCCUGGGAGUUGUGGGGGCGGGGACAAGGACAUGGAAAAGAGGGAAUUUCCUGAUUGCUAAGUGUCCAAAAUGUUCAGAAGCUUCCAGAGUCACCAGAUCCUACUGUGCAUCAGUCUACUUCGAGCUGCGGGUCAGGUGAGCGUCACAGCAUCAGAGAAAGAACUGGUUCAGUGAUGAGAAGGUGGUUCUUGCCUUCAACAAGCUUUCGAUCUAAUGGUUUUUUUUUUUUCUUUUUUUCUCUCCGAGGAUAAUUCAGCAAUGUCUGGCAAAGAGCUGCCUUUUUUGUCUCUCUCUCUCGCUCUCUUUUUCUCCUCCUCUGGGCCUCAGAGGUCAGGAGAGAGGUACAGUUUGGAAUUUCCCUGGCGUCCCGAAGCUGUGCGGGAGGAGCACGUGAGGUCGGGCUGACCUAGUUAACAGCUAGCUGCUGCGCGGGCUGCACUGGAAGGGGUAGGGCGGGGCCUCUGGGGAGCGUCGCCAUGGCAACCAGCCCUUACUCAAGAACGAGACUCCAACCCGGAAAACAGCUCGAGGGAGCUUUCUCUUGAUAAUCCCCUGGGCCUGUCGGGCAGGAACGUACAAAGGGGAUUCUUUCUCUGUAGAGAAAUGGUUCUUUACAGGGCCCGGAACAAAAGGAAACAUUUGUUGGGUCGGAUCUAUCCUUAUAUUGAGCUGGAACAAAAGCAACAAAAGCAAGGUUAUUUAGUUCUUUUCCAUUAUGCACAGGAAAAGAACCUGCUUUGUGCUGCAGGCUUCCUUUUUUUUUUUUUUUUAAUAUUUGUUGUAAUUUUUCUUUUAUAUUCCCACUUUACAAAUGAGACAUUAGUAAGUCUGAAUGGACCUGUAUAAAACUGUAGUUGAAAAUGAGAGUGGCCUUCUGAGCUUUGUGAAGGUGAUCCCAUGUUUGCCUGUUUUAAGAGACUUCUACUAUGUUCUUAAAGAGACUCCUUGUCCACGUGCCCUGGGCCCUGGGAGCCACCAGGGCACGCUGGGCUCUGUCCUCUCAGCUCUGCUGGCUGCCACUCGCCCCUCCCCCGCGCGGGAACUGUGGCCACCAGAGAAGGAGGAAGAGGAAUGCGGAAGAUAUUCCAGCAACCUCCACACCAGCGAGUUUCAAAACUCCUGCAAAGUGGGCAGACUCCUCCAGGCUUCCAGCCGAUCUGCUCUACAGCUGGACGACACCCUGCACAUGGACCCUUUUCCCUAGCUCAGAUGAGCCAACAAUGGCCAGUCACCACCCGCAAGACCAAGACUGACCACAAUUUCUAUAAAGUUAUUAACAGAUGAUUUUCCCUUCGGGUCUACAUUUACAUGCAAUGUAAUGUUUUAGCAGGUUUAUGACUGGAAAAGCUAAGAGUUCAACCACGUCUUGAUAAUGGAAGUCCUGGUAAAGGAGUCACAUUCAUCAUAAAGUCCACAAAAUUAAAACAAAAUUCACCUGCACCACAAAGAUAGCACUUUUGUGCAGUGGGGAAGGGAGGAAAAUGGGACUACCAGAGGGAACUAUAUAGGAGUGCCAGAGGAGCUUCAAACACUUUCACCCCAUCCCUAGAGAUUUCUCUCCUCUAUAGUCACUUAGUGAUAGCAAAUGUCACCUGCCCAACCCCAAAGGACAAAUUGGAAGCCACUCCCAGAAAGACCUUAUAAGGAGUUAAUUAGAUCAACUGUUCCUGUUUAAAUGAAGGGCCGAGUUUCCUUUUCCAAAGGUUAUAGUUCAAAACAUAGCACUAGUGGCUGGGGAUUUAGCUCAGUGGCAUAAGUGCCUGCCAAGCACAAGGUUGUUAAUUUGAUCCCCCAUACCAAAAAAAAAAAAAAGAUACCACUAGCUUAUCCUGCAUUAAGAAGUCAGAAGAAAAAAAAAAAAAGGAGAAAAGAAAACAAAAGGAAAAAGUCAAAACAGCCCAGGCAUGGUGGCAAAUGCCUAUAG